UUGCCAACUACUACCUUUUAACGGGAAUUUUCCUAUAUAUACAAUUUAAAUUAAAAACAGGUAAUAUUUUCAUUUUAUGUGAGAUAAAUCUCUAUAAAUAAUAUGAUAAUAAAAAAAGAAGAAAUAAAAGAUUAAACCAACGGUAACAAAAUUUUGAAAAGGUUACUGUCGCUUUAAAAUUUAAAUGAUGACCGUUGUUGUAAUAAAGGUAAUCAAAAUCUCCACCUGUCAAUAUAUAGCUUUGAUGAGAAAUAAAAGAUGUCUCUCUCCUCCGCAUAGAGGGCUAAUGUUCUUCUGGAUCACCAGCUCUCUCCUUCAUUUAUACUUCCUCUAUAAAUCGUAUCGUGACUCUCUCUCUCUCUCUCUCUCUCUAGAUUCCAUUAUAUCUCUACUUUGUCAACCGAAACAACAUUGGCGUCGACCUCUCCUUCCUUCAGCAAGGAGGAAAAAAGAUUCAACCGGCUGUGACGUUUCAAACAAAAAAGCUCCAUGAGUCCGUAUUCUGAUGAUCUUACAUCAAAAAGUGACAACGUGCUUCUGAAGGAGACCCUUUGCCUGCCACCAACCCUCACAUAGAGACCUUUUGCUUCAGGGAAGCUAGCUAGUGCUUUGACCAGGUCGUCGUGUCAAGCAAAAGACAUCAACACACAAGGAUCCGACUCCAUAUGACUUCUAUAGUCCACAACAAAAUGCUUACGAAUCUUCAAGUCGUGAUUGUGAAGGAUGAUUACUUUGAUCGGAUGAUGCCUUCGUUCUUCACUCGUUUUCUGUUAAUCAGCUCUAAACGAAGGUUUCAUUCAUUUACAUUAUGGCACGGCAAUAGAGACCACUGUUGUCUCGGUUUGAAGCUUGAGUUUCACCGGAGCUAUUUUCAGCGUUACUUAACUUAUUUCAUCUGCUUUACUCGUCGCCGUCGCUUCACCUUCACAUCUCCUCUCCGCCGCUCAUCUCUCAAUGGUUACGGGUUCGCCGGAUCUGCUCAUUUUAAGAAUGGGUUCACCGGAUUUCUGUUUGUCACAUAACCGGAUCUCUGUAUGUAUGUAUAUGCGUAGGAAUAUUCAUAUUGUGUAUAUAUGUGUAUGUAUAUGCUUA
This is a long non-coding RNA of Brassica napus (rape), 1092 nucleotides long. RefSeq lists it as uncharacterized. The record is from RefSeq and is a predicted model, not a curated record. The transcript is spliced from 6 exons. NCBI's taxonomy places the organism in Eukaryota, Viridiplantae, Streptophyta, Magnoliopsida, Brassicales, Brassicaceae.